GUCAUUCUAGAGGGUACCCUGAACCUAGGCCACCAGAGCACCUCUGCUAAGCCAGGAUGGGACAUCUAAAGUAUGUAUUUGUAGAUUCUCCAGUCUCUGAGUUCUUGAAAAGCCUCCAGACCCUAUUUAACGCUGUUAUUGAACCUCAAUUUUCAUGCAAAUCCUGGAUGGGAUGUGUGUUAAGUCAAACAGUUGGCUAAAGAGCAAAGUCGUUAAACUGAAAAAACUGAACAUUUGGUAAGUUCACUUUCAUCAGC
RNAcentral lists this long non-coding RNA (257 nucleotides) under Vulpes vulpes (red fox). Its description in RNAcentral is "lncRNA (ENSVVUG00000011472.1)". Lineage: Eukaryota; Metazoa; Chordata; Mammalia; Carnivora; Canidae. The record is from RNAcentral.